CAGCUUCCAGCUUGCAGUUUUUUGGGCUCGUGUCAAAUUCAAUGUUUAACUAUUUCACAUUCAUCUACAACCAAAGAAAAGUAUCUAAAAAUACAAGUACCUAAGAUUCUUUUAAACCAUGUGCUUUAACUACAAGGACAGCACUAACCUAAGUGUUGCAGACGGCAUACCUCUUCUCCUCCAGCAAUCUGCACAGCUCAAGGAGCUUCAGAACUCAGAGCAGAGGCAGUCAGCAGAGGCGGAUUGGCGGAAGGGGAAAAAAAGGGGGGCAGCUUCAGACUUCAGAACAGAGAGGCAGUUUGGGCGAUUUUGAAGAGGGGUUAGGGUUUUUUUAUUUUAAUCUUACAUGAAACGACGUCGUUUCAUGUAAGAUUAAAAAAAAAAAAAAACUAGCUGCUGCUGUGCUGCAGAAGAAGAAAGGAAGAAGAAGGUGGGCGACUGCAGAAGAACUGAAGAAGAAAACUGUGCUGCAAAAAAACUCACCUGGGCUACAGCCCAUACGUGG
RNAcentral lists this long non-coding RNA (505 nucleotides) under Panax ginseng (ginseng). Its description in RNAcentral is "long non-coding RNA (PGIN_LNC017325)". Lineage: Eukaryota; Viridiplantae; Streptophyta; Magnoliopsida; Apiales; Araliaceae. The record is from RNAcentral.